Molecule: ribosomal RNA, 429 nt
Filed under: bacterium
Lineage: Bacteria
Description: partial 16S ribosomal RNA
Rfam family: Bacterial small subunit ribosomal RNA
Source: RNAcentral
UAGGGAAUCUUCCACAAUGGACGCAAGUCUGAUGGAGCAACGCCGCGUGAGUGAAGAAGGUUUUCGGAUCGUGAAGCUCUGUUGUUGGUGAAGAAGGAUAGAGGUAGUAACUGGCCUUUAUUUGACGGUAAUCAACCAGAAAGUCACGGCUAACUACGUGCCAGCAGCCGCGGUAAUACGUAGGUGGCAAGCGUUGUCCGGAUUUAUUGGGCGUAAAGCGAGCGCAGGCGGAAGAAUAAGUCUGAUGUGAAAGCCCUCGGCUUAACCGAGGAACUGCAUCGGAAACUGUUUUUCUUGAGUGCAGAAGAGGAGAGUGGAAUUCCAUGUGUAGCGGUGGAAUGCGUAGAUAUAUGGAAGAACACCAGUGGCGAAGGCGACUCUCUGGUCUGCAACUGACGCUGAGGCUCGAAAGCAUGGGUAGCGAACAGG